GAUGAAGAACGUAGCGAAAUGCGAAAAGUAGUGUGAAUUGCAGAAUUCAGUGAAUCAUCGAAUCUUUGAACGCACAUUGCGCCCCUUGGUAUUCCAUGGGGCAUGCCUGUUCGAGCGUCAUUUGUACCUUCAAGCUCUGCUUGGUGUUGGGUGUUUGUCCCGCUUUUUGCGUGGACUCGCCUCAAAGCAAUUGGCAGCCGGCGUACUAGCCUGGGAGCGCAGCACAUUUUGCGCAUCUCGACUGGAACGCUUGCGUCCAUUAAGCCUACACUUUUGCUCUUGACCUCGGAUCAGGUAGGGAUACCCGCUGAACUUAAGCAUAUCAAUAAGCGGAGGA
Molecule: unclassified non-coding RNA, 337 nt
Filed under: soil metagenome
Description: partial contains 5.8S ribosomal RNA, internal transcribed spacer 2, and large subunit ribosomal RNA
Rfam family: 5.8S ribosomal RNA (bases 1-120)
Source: RNAcentral